This 410-nucleotide ribosomal RNA is filed under the name Desoria olivacea. RNAcentral's name for it is "SSU rRNA". It matches the Rfam family "Eukaryotic small subunit ribosomal RNA", at positions 553 to 967 of the family's 1831-position model. Lineage: Eukaryota; Metazoa; Arthropoda; Collembola; Entomobryomorpha; Isotomidae. The record is from RNAcentral.
GGGCAAGUCUGGUGCCAGCAGCCGCGGUAAUUCCAGCUCCAAUAGCGUAUAUUAAUGUUGUUGCGGUUAAAAAGCUCGUAGUUGGAUCUCGGUUUCGGGCGAGUGGUGCACCUUGCGGUGUUUACUGUUUGCCCGGACGAUUUUGUUGGUUCGUUCAUGGUUCUCUUAACCGAGUGCCAUGAGUGGCCAGCACGUUUACUUUGAAAAAAUUGGAGUGCUCAAAGCAGGCGCUACAGCCUGAACAUUAGUGCAUGGAAUAAUGGAAUAGGAUCUCGGUUCUAUUUCGUUGGCUUUCGGAGUCGAGGUAAUGAUUAAUAGGGACAGACGGGGGCAUUCGUACUGCGACGUUAGAGGUGAAAUUCUUGGAUCGUCGCAAGACGAACUACUGCGAAAGCAUUUGCCAAGAAUGU